Molecule: ribosomal RNA, 253 nt
Filed under: uncultured bacterium
Lineage: Bacteria
Description: partial 16S ribosomal RNA
Rfam family: Bacterial small subunit ribosomal RNA
Source: RNAcentral
GACGGAGGGGGCGAGCGUUGUUCGGAAUUACUGGGCGUAAAGGGCGCGUAGGCGGUUCGCUUAGUCAGGCGUGAAAGCCCUGGGCUCAACCCGGGAAUGGCGCUUGAGACGGGCGAACUCGAGUUCGGGAGAGGUGAGUGGAAUUCCCAGUGGAGAGGUGAAAUUCGUAGAGAUUGGGAAGAACACCAGCGGCGAAGGCGGCUCACUGGACCGACACUGACGCUGAAGCGCGAAAGCGUGGGGAGCAAACAGG